RNAcentral lists this ribosomal RNA (520 nucleotides) under uncultured Scutellospora. RNAcentral describes it as "SSU rRNA". It matches the Rfam family "Eukaryotic small subunit ribosomal RNA", at positions 569 to 1095 of the family's 1831-position model. Lineage: Eukaryota; Fungi; Glomeromycota; Glomeromycetes; Diversisporales; Gigasporaceae. The record is from RNAcentral.
AGCAGCCGCGGUAAUUCCAGCUCCAAUAGCGUAUAUUAAAGUUGUUGCAGUUAAAAAGCUCGUAGUUGAAUUUCGGGGUUCUACCGUUGGUCGGGCUUUGUCUGUACUGGCGUAUGGAAUUUCUACCUUCUGGGGAACCAUCAUGUUAUUAAUUUAGCGUGGUGGGAAACCAGGACCUUUACCUUGAAAAAAUUAGAGUGUUCAAAGCAGGCUUAUGUCUGAAUACAUUAGCAUGGAAUAAUAAAAUAGGACGGUGGUCCUGUUUUGUUGGUUUCUGAAUCACCGUAAUGAUUAAUAGGGAUAGUUGGGGGCAUUAGUAUUCAAUUGUCAGAGGUGAAAUUCUUGGAUUUAUUGAAGACUAACUUCUGCGAAAGCAUUUGCCAAGGAUGUUUUCAUUAAUCAAGAACGAAAGUUAGGGGAUCGAAGACGAUCAGAUACCGUCGUAGUCUUAACCAUAAACUAUGCCGACUAGGGAUCGGACGAUGUUAAUUUUUCUUGACUCGUUCGGCGCCUUACGGGA